RNAcentral lists this transfer RNA (81 nucleotides) under Colletotrichum navitas. RNAcentral's name for it is "tRNA-Gly". It matches the Rfam family "tRNA". From Rfam's summary of the family: Transfer RNA (tRNA) molecules are approximately 80 nucleotides in length. Their secondary structure includes four short double-helical elements and three loops (D, anti-codon, and T loops). Further hydrogen bonds mediate the characteristic L-shaped molecular structure. tRNAs have two regions of fundamental functional importance: the anti-codon, which is responsible for specific mRNA codon recognition, and the 3' end, to which the tRNAs corresponding amino acid is attached (by aminoacyl-tRNA synthetases). tRNAs cope with the degeneracy of the genetic code in two manners: having more than one tRNA (with a specific anti-codon) for a particular amino acid; and 'wobble' base-pairing, i.e. permitting non-standard base-pairing at the 3rd anti-codon position. Lineage: Eukaryota; Fungi; Ascomycota; Sordariomycetes; Glomerellales; Glomerellaceae. RNAcentral also lists the same sequence under 3 other names. The record is from RNAcentral.
GCGCCGAUGGUUUAGUGGUAAAAUUCUCCGUUGCCAUUAAGCAGCGUCGGGGAGCCGGGGGUUCGAUUCCCCCUCGGCGCA